Molecule: long non-coding RNA, 661 nt
Organism: Portunus trituberculatus (swimming crab)
Lineage: Eukaryota; Metazoa; Arthropoda; Malacostraca; Decapoda; Portunidae
Exons: 2
Source: RefSeq, a predicted model, not a curated record
UGCCGAAUGCUUUGUUAUGGUACCGGAGUAGCGUGCUGUAUAGAGGUGACAGUGGCGUGACAGAGGUGGUGGAGGUUAUUAAUGCACCAAGGAACAGGUGUGUAUGGGAGAACGCCGAUCCUAAGGCUACACCGACAGCAAGUGCUGGGUGACUCCCAACUCAAGCUCAAGCUCAAGCUCAAGCAACAUGUGCACGUUCUCGCUCCCAUGGAAUUUGAGCCUUGAGGAGAUAAGAGAUUCCCCAUUAGCUAGUGUUUUUUUUUAGCUGAAAAUGAGUGACUCUCCUCUCUCUCAUUGAAGGGAGACCUGUCGUUGUGUCUAAAUGACAGGCUCCCAGUAUACAGAACAACAAGAAGGCCUGGGAGGAAAUAACGCCAGCAUUAUGCAGAAAUAGGUUUCCCCCAGCUAAGAAUAUGAUGUGAUCUAGAUUUAAACAUCAUGAAAACACAAAAUGUAAUAGUAUUCUUCUCAUAACUACCUUACUAAUAGUCCCAUUCUCUUCCUCAUUUCACCUCAUUUAUUUGUUUAGUGAUGCACUAAUCAGACAUUUCAUCAGCCACACUUUAUUCUGUGAUCUAUAUUUUACGAACAUGAAAAAAAAAAUGUAAUACUACUCAUGUAUGGAUCAUGUUUUGAUAUAGAUAUUGUACAUAUGCACACA